Molecule: ribosomal RNA, 494 nt
Filed under: uncultured bacterium
Lineage: Bacteria
Description: partial 16S ribosomal RNA
Rfam family: Bacterial small subunit ribosomal RNA
Source: RNAcentral
GACGAACGCUGGCGGCGUGCUUAACACAUGCAAGUCGAACGGUGAAGCGCCUUCCUUUUUGGUGGGUGUGGAUGAGUGGCGAACGGGUGAGUAACACGUGAGUAACCUGCCCCCUUCUUCUGGAUAACCGCAUGAAAGUGAGGCUAAUACGGGAUAUUCUGGGUCUGUCGCAUGAUGGGUCUGGGAAAGAUAUUGUUUCGGUGGGGGAUGGGCUCGCGGCCUAUCAGCUUGUUGGUGGGGUGAUGGCCUACCAAGGCGGUGACGGGUAGCCGGCCUGAGAGGGUGGACGGUCACGCUGGGACGGAGACGCGGCCAAGACUCCUACGGGAGGCAGCAGGGGGGAAUAUUGCACAAUGGGCGCAAGCCUGAUGCAGCGACGCCGCGGGAGGGAUGGAGGCCGUCGGGUUGUGAACCUCUUUCGCCAGUGAAGCAGGCCUGCCUAGUUUGUGGGUGGGUUGACGGUAGCUGGAUAAGAAGCGCCGGCUAACUACGUG